Molecule: ribosomal RNA, 253 nt
Filed under: uncultured bacterium
Lineage: Bacteria
Description: partial 16S ribosomal RNA
Rfam family: Bacterial small subunit ribosomal RNA
Source: RNAcentral
GACAGAGGUCCCGAGCGUUAUGCAGAAUCACUGGGCUUAAAGCGUGUGUAGGCGGUUCGUUAAGUACCUUGUGAAAUCCCACGGCUUAACCGUGGAACUGCUUGGUAUACUGGCGGUCUUGAGCCACUUAGGGGCUACCGGAACAAAUGGUGGAGCGGUGAAAUGCGUAGAUAUCAUUUGGAACGCCAAUGGUGAAAACAGGUAGCUGGGAGUGUGCUGACGCUGAGACACGAAAGCCAGGGGAGCAAACGGG